This 446-nucleotide ribosomal RNA is filed under the name uncultured bacterium. Its description in RNAcentral is "partial 16S ribosomal RNA". It matches the Rfam family "Bacterial small subunit ribosomal RNA", at positions 338 to 795 of the family's 1533-position model. The record is from RNAcentral.
CCUACGGGGGGCAGCAGUAGGGAAUGUUCGGCAAUGGGGGGAACCCUGACCGAGCAACGCCGCGUGAACGAAGAAGUUAUUCGGAAUGUAAAGUUCGUUUAACAGGGAAGAAAGAGAAAUUUGACGGUACCUGAAGAAUAAGCCCCGCUAAACGACGUGCCAGCAGCCGCGGCAAUACGUAGGGAGCGAGCGUUAUCCGGAAUUAUUGGGCGGAAAGGGUGCGGAGGUGGCAUAGUAAGUCUUGUGUAAAAAUGCUGGGCUCAACCCAGUAGGGCAAAAGAUACUGGCAAGCUAGAGUCUGGCAGAGGCAUGUGGAACUCCAUGUGUAGCGGUGAAAUGCGUAGAUAUAUGUAAGAACACCAGUGGCGAAGGCGGCUUGCUGGGUCGAUACUGACAUUGAGGCACGAAAGCGUGGGGAGCAAACAGGAUUAGAUACCCGUGUAGUC